This 1326-nucleotide ribosomal RNA is filed under the name Escherichia coli. RNAcentral describes it as "bacterial LSU rRNA". It matches the Rfam family "Bacterial large subunit ribosomal RNA", at positions 1189 to 2498 of the family's 2925-position model. The record is from RNAcentral. Lineage: Bacteria; Pseudomonadati; Pseudomonadota; Gammaproteobacteria; Enterobacterales; Enterobacteriaceae.
AUGCACCGAAGCUGCGGCAGCGACGCUUAUGCGUUGUUGGGUAGGGGAGCGUUCUGUAAGCCUGUGAAGGUGUACUGUGAGGUAUGCUGGAGGUAUCAGAAGUGCGAAUGCUGACAUAAGUAACGAUAAAGCGGGUGAAAAGCCCGCUCGCCGGAAGACCAAGGGUUCCUGUCCAACGUUAAUCGGGGCAGGGUGAGUCGACCCCUAAGGCGAGGCCGAAAGGCGUAGUCGAUGGGAAACAGGUUAAUAUUCCUGUACUUGGUGUUACUGCGAAGGGGGGACGGAGAAGGCUAUGUUGGCCGGGCGACGGUUGUCCCGGUUUAAGCGUGUAGGCUGGUUUUCCAGGCAAAUCCGGAAAAUCAAGGCUGAGGCGUGAUGACGAGGCACUACGGUGCUGAAGCAACAAAUGCCCUGCUUCCAGGAAAAGCCUCUAAGCAUCAGGUAACAUCAAAUCGUACCCCAAACCGACACAGGUGGUCAGGUAGAGAAUACCAAGGCGCUUGAGAGAACUCGGGUGAAGGAACUAGGCAAAAUGGUGCCGUAACUUCGGGAGAAGGCACGCUGAUAUGUAGGUGAAGUCCCUCGCGGAUGGAGCUGAAAUCAGUCGAAGAUACCAGCUGGCUGCAACUGUUUAUUAAAAACACAGCACUGUGCAAACACGAAAGUGGACGUAUACGGUGUGACGCCUGCCCGGUGCCGGAAGGUUAAUUGAUGGGGUCAGCGCAAGCGAAGCUCUUGAUCGAAGCCCCGGUAAACGGCGGCCGUAACUAUAACGGUCCUAAGGUAGCGAAAUUCCUUGUCGGGUAAGUUCCGACCUGCACGAAUGGCGUAAUGAUGGCCAGGCUGUCUCCACCCGAGACUCAGUGAAAUUGAACUCGCUGUGAAGAUGCAGUGUACCCGCGGCAAGACGGAAAGACCCCGUGAACCUUUACUAUAGCUUGACACUGAACAUUGAGCCUUGAUGUGUAGGAUAGGUGGGAGGCUUUGAAGUGUGGACGCCAGUCUGCAUGGAGCCGACCUUGAAAUACCACCCUUUAAUGUUUGAUGUUCUAACGUUGACCCGUAAUCCGGGUUGCGGACAGUGUCUGGUGGGUAGUUUGACUGGGGCGGUCUCCUCCUAAAGAGUAACGGAGGAGCACGAAGGUUGGCUAAUCCUGGUCGGACAUCAGGAGGUUAGUGCAAUGGCAUAAGCCAGCUUGACUGCGAGCGUGACGGCGCGAGCAGGUGCGAAAGCAGGUCAUAGUGAUCCGGUGGUUCUGAAUGGAAGGGCCAUCGCUCAACGGAUAAAAGGUACUCCGGGGAUAACAGGCUGAUACCGCCCAAGAG